ACACAUACACAUAUAGUGUAAAUGUGCAUAUAUUCACAUUAAAUAUCUCAGUAAAAGAAGUGCUAGGUGAAACUCAUAUAUGAAACAGGAUCACUUAUAGAAAGUUUCCAUGAAACAGAAAUUCUAAGAGCAUCCCAUUUUUCAUCACACAAAGCUGAAAAACUUCCAUAUUGGAUCAUUUCUUGCUCUUGAGAUAAUACAUAAAGUAACUUACAAUAGAUAUGUACAGACCAUCCUUUGAAUAUCUUGUUUGCGAAUAUAAGGAAUAUGCCCACAUCAGGCUUGCUGAUGUUGAUGCAGCACCCUGAAUACCGUUAAUAAGGAAUAUUAAGAGCUGUGAUGGUAACUGGUACAACAGAUUUGACAAAGUUGUGUCAAAUCUUAUUGUAUUGUCUCAAGUUAGCACUUUUCCUCGGACUUACUUAUUAAAAACAUCUUCAAAAUUGACUCCUCAGAAAUGGAUUUUACAGUGGAUCUCAGAUUUUUUAUAUGCAUUCAUGAUUCUUUCCAAGAAAGAUGUCCAUAUGCGAAAACAUGCUAACUGAAGUGUCUUUGUUGUUGCUUAUUCUGGAAACAUCCCUCUGUGCAGAUCGUGUAUAUCGUAUAGAUGAAGAGAAUGACCCAGGAACUUUUGUUGGUGAUAUUGCAGCAGAUACAAAACUAUUAGGCAUCAUAUCUCCAAAGGAUGACAGCAAUAUUUGGUUCAGUCAGCUUCACCAAGAGAAUACAAACACGUCAAAGUUGUUCAAUGUCACUAAAACAGGCAAAUUAUAUACAGCUCAAAGACUAGAUGCAGAAACUCUUUGUAAAUACAAUGUAGAAUGUUUCAAAAUGGUAGAUGUUGCAGUUCAACAGAAAAAAUAUUUUAUUAAAAUAUUGGAAGUCAAAAUUAUUAUUGAAGAUAUAAAUGACAACAAGCCAGAAUUUCGAAACAAAGAAAUUGAACUUGAAUUUUAUGAAACUGAUGGCAAAGGAACAAAAAAAUCUAUACCUAAUGCCAUAGACAAAGAUGUAGGUAUACAAAAUUCACAAAUAACAUAUUUACUAAAGAACAAUAAUGAUGAUCUUUUCACAUUAUCAGUUUCAAAAAAUAUGGAUGGUACUUCCAAAAUUGGUAUUAUUUUACAAGAGAAACUUGACAGAGAAGUACAAGAUUCUUAUCAGCUUCAAGUUAUUGCAAAAGAUGGAGGCCAUCCCCCUAGAGAAGGUGUUCUUAAUCUCCAAAUAUCAGUUCGAGAUGAAAAUGACAACUCUCCAGUCUUCUCCCAAAAUAUUUACAAUGUUUCUAUCAAAAAUGGUUAUCAACGAUCAACACCUAUAGUCACUUUAUCAGCAACUGACUUAGAUUCUGGUAAAAAUGGUAAAGUAAUGUACCAGUUCAGUCCCAAAACAUCAGAGAGUGCCAGAGCCUAUUUUAAAUUAAAUGAAUCAACAGGGGAAAUCUGGGUGGUGCAAAAGUUUCCAACAGGUUCCAAGAAGGUAUAUAAAUUGUUUGUUAAAGCAAAGGAUGGAGGUAAUCCUUCCUUAGGUUCAGUUGCUCUGGUUUUAGUUAAUAUAAAUAAUCAAGAGAACAACCCUCCUGAUAUAGAUAUGAAUUUUAUAGCAAAAUCACCAGAAAAUUUGCCAAGCAUUUCAGAGGGUGUAAAAGUUGGUAACUUUAUUGCUUAUGUAAAGGUCACAGAUGAUAAUGAAGUUUCUUGUUAUAUUAAUCAUGAUCACUUUCAACUUCAGGCUCUUGCACGUAAAAAGUAUAAAGUUGUUAUUAAGAAAACAGUUGACAGAGAAGUAGAAAACCACAUAGAUUUUACCAUCACAUGUGAAGACAAAGGAUCUCCACCAUUAAAAACUGAGAAACGAUUUUCAGUGCAAGUAUCAGAUGUUAAUGAUGUACAACCAACAUUUACUAAAGAUACUUUUGAAUUUUUAACCUAUGAAAAUGAAAAUAGAAAUUUUCCAGUAGGCUUCAUCAAUGCAACCGACCCUGAUCUUGGAUCAGGAGGUGAAUUAUCUUAUUUUCUUAUAAGCAGAGAUGGGAGUGUUCUUCCCUUUAAAAUCUCUCAUUUAGGAUUCAUAUCAACUACUCAGUCUUUAGACCGUGAACAACAUGACAUUUACAGAUUUAAAGUGUUAGUAAAAGAUAAUGGUACACCAUCUCUUAACAACACAGCUAACGUUGUUGUUGAAGUUAUGGACAAAAAUGAUAAUACUCCCUAUUUUACUUUCCCUAGUGUUAACCCUUUCAAUCUAGAUUUCCAUCACCAUCCACAGAGUAAGAGUGACAUCACAACAUUAAGAGCCUCCGACAGAGACAAACAUGUUAAUGCUUUCCUCAGGUAUGAAAUACUUGGAGGCAAUGACAAACAUUUAUUCAAAGUUAACCAUUAUACUGGAGUUUUGUCUUUCUCUCGUACAGUUUACCAAAAUGAUGCUGGAUCAUAUAAUCUAAAAUUAGCUGUCAAAGAUAAUGGUACACCAGUUUUAUCAGCAACCACUACACUGUCUUUGACACUAACUGUUAGCAAUACAACAGCCAAAAUGUACAUCUCUGAAGAUACAGAAUCAGACAACAGAAUACAUAUUAAUUUGAUGAUUAUUAUAGUAGUAGCAGCAGUGAUAGUUUCUGUUGCUAUUGUAGUUUCUGUAAUUGUUUGUGUUGUUCAUAAAAGAAAUCAAAAAGAAAACCAUUAUGGUGCUACUCAAGACUUUGUUGGUGAGAGAAGGCCAUCUGGAUACGUUUGUGAACAAGACUCUCCAAAAUAUGAUGUUCCUGUUGCAAUCUUAUCAGAUCCAAAACAAAUAAGAAAUUCUAAAACAGCUCUUUUUCGAAGAGAUCCUCACUCCAUAUACAAACCUGGACAGAGUUGGAAAGGGUCAUCAUUAGGAGUACAGCUACAAUGUAUUACUCCUGAAUUGCAUCAAAUACAAGGUAACCCUCCAGAUUUCUCAGUGACCCGUGUUAUUGGUAAAGAUCAACAACAUAUGGUUAUGUCCCCUGACCGUUUCAGUGAGAUGUCAACGAUGUCUUCUGUAACUGACAGUGGACAUGGCUGCAGUGAAGCAAGUACUGCUCACUAUGAAACUUUACCUGGUCUGAAAUCUCUUCAAGAACAGACACCCAGCACAGGCAGGAAAUCCUUAUCACAGACAUUAAUUAAACCAAAAGGUACCAAUCCUAGGUCUUCCUAUCAACCUAACCCUAGUCUUUUUACUCAUGGCAAUAAUAUAAUAAACUUAAAAUCUACACAAGCAGAUAACACCAAACCUAAAUUAUUGCAAGCUCAACCCUGGAAUCUACCAACAAGGAACAGUUUCACUUCAUACACCAAACCUUUACCAAAAGUACCUUAUUCAUGAAUCUUUUGGAAGAUAAUUUUCAAGUACAUCCUGAUAUCCCAUCACUGGACAUUCUCAAGUGAUCUUUAAACAAUGUGAAAUUUUGUAAUAUUUCAUUACUAAUCUAUUUGCAAAAAAUGGAUUGGCAUCUCAUUUCAAUUUUCGCAUUGUGCAUUGGAUUUCUAAACUGAAUGGAUCACUUUUACCACUAUUCCUUGUUAUAACAUUCAAGGGAAAAUAAACACCUUAUGUAAUAAUAUAUAACUAAUAUAUACAUAAAUAUAUAUCCUUUAAAGUUUAGUUUAAUAUAUAAAUAUAUUAGAUGGACUAUCUUGUGAUGUCACUGAAUGUAAUCCCUUAAAUAACCUUCAUUCUGACUUACAAUAACAAACUUAUAGCUAAAUUUUAGAUGCUAAUGCUGAAAAUUCAAAUAAUUAUAAUGAAAUAUAUUGCUCAAUUGUAAAUUUCUAAAAAGAUAAAUUUUGUUUGGAAAAGUUUUCAAAAAUACUUUUAAUCCAAUAUUCUGCUGGAUAGAGAAAAUAUUUUGCAUCAUAUUGCUGUUGCUGGUCCAACCAAAAAUAAUCUUUACUGAGCAGGUUACAUUGCUUUGGUUAAGCAAGAAUCUAAAGUAAUAGAGUUUUUGUUUCCCUUCCAUGGGAACCAUAAACAGCUUGUCAUUGGCUGUAGCAGAUAUUACAUACACCACACUUGAUAGGUUGCAGACCUCUCUAUCACUCUCUCUCUAUCUCUCUCUCAUACAUCCAUACAAUAUCACAGACCAAAGUACACAGUACUGCCAGCACACAACAGCAGCAGUAACGAUACAAUUCUACAGCAGGAUACACAUCGCAUCUAAUGAUAAACUGGAACCUAUUUACUUAUCU
Molecule: RNA transcript, 4217 nt
Organism: Octopus sinensis (East Asian common octopus)
Lineage: Eukaryota; Metazoa; Mollusca; Cephalopoda; Octopoda; Octopodidae
Gene name: protocadherin beta-15
Exons: 6
Source: RefSeq, a predicted model, not a curated record